AAGUGUGAAGGUCACAUCUGAGUUUUAUUGAAGAAGAUGGAAAUGGUGUAUAGUCCAAUUGGGAGAUGCUAUUAUGAUGAAUCCUUGACGGUUCUUGAGGCUGGUAUACAACUCGGCAGUGCUUUGUACAACCUAGAAAUGCAUGACAUGUGAGAAGACUGUCUACUUGGUGGACAAACUGACUGUUGAUGACACACACUCAAGGUUUCUUAUAUAUGCCCAUAAGCUCUGAACUACAACUCCUUUAAGGAUGUUAUUUGCUGCAGGCUUGAAUAGUUGUUCUAGAAAACAGCGGGUAGCUUCCCGUUUCUAAAUUUAUUGUCAUCAAGAUUCAAGAGUGUCGCUUUUUGAAGUAUUGGUGAAGCCAAACUUUUGGUUGUUGACUAUAAACGAAAAGGAACUGGUAAGCUCCUGGUCGACAGAUGCAAUCUCAAAAUUGAUUAACCUUACCUAAUCUUUUAUCACAACCCAUUAAGGAUAACUUUCUUAUGUGGAGGGUGGCCUUGGAUAGGGUCCCAACCAUGGUGGUGUUGGUUAGAAGAAAUGUUAAGUAUGAAUUCAUCCAGUGUAUAUUUUGCGGUGAUCGUGACACGUGAGUCAGUGACAUCUGAACACUGGUUAAUUUUUUGCAAUCUGGCUCGGUGUGGGAUUUUGUGGCGCAUUGGUGUAAAGUUCAGCCGGUAUUUGUCCUCUAAACCAGAGAUUCGAUGAGUAUGCAUAAGCACAUCAGGGGAUAUGUGAAAUGGAGACGAGUUGUAUGCGCGGUUAUGCAAACAACAAACAGUUUGGUGUAUUUGGCGAAGCGGAAAUGACAUGGAUUUUAAUAGGCAACAAGCAAACCUCGAUAGAAGAAAGGGGAUAGUCAUGAGCUAUCUUCAGGUGAGCUGAUGUAAUAUUAAUCUUUGGUGUAUGUGUGUGUGAGAUUGGUUUUUGUUUGUUUGUCUGUUUGUAGUUAAAACUUUGGAGAUGUAUGGUUUUUGGGCUAUUCACUGUUAGCUCUGUUUAUAAUACAUUUUCCUUUGUUGGCCUUCAAAA
Molecule: long non-coding RNA, 1035 nt
Organism: Helianthus annuus (common sunflower)
Lineage: Eukaryota; Viridiplantae; Streptophyta; Magnoliopsida; Asterales; Asteraceae
Exons: 4
Source: RefSeq, a predicted model, not a curated record